AGAAAUAGUGCCAGGAAUGUUUAUUGUCACGUGCAGGCUCGCAAUUCCUGGACGGGUGGCACAUGCCAGGUGCUUGUUGUGUCUUGGGAUUUUUCAAUGAGAUGUUUCCGUGCUGUCGGCACUGCAAUUGCGGCUCCAUCAUUGAGUGUCUUGCCCUUCUGGUUUUCUUUCAUAAUCUCUAUUGCUUCAGUUGGUGGGGUUUGCGAUUUUCUUGGAACUGGCUUUAUUAUGUUGUCUCUGUUCCGGUGCACUGUGGUGUCGUUGCUGUGGGCUUCUGUGGCUGGUGUUGUGUUGGUGUUGCCUUUCUCUGUAUCUCUUCUAUGUUUGUCCAGUCUCUGUUUGAGUAUUCUG
This 351-nucleotide long non-coding RNA is filed under the name Androctonus crassicauda. Lineage: Eukaryota; Metazoa; Arthropoda; Arachnida; Scorpiones; Buthidae. The record is from RNAcentral.